CCUUUUUCCAAAGUCCGAUAUUUGUUUCCUUUCUGUUUUUAAUUAUUUUUUGUUCCAUAACCCUUUUACAGUGCCUCAUGUUUUGCAUAAAUUAUUUAAUAUAUAAUGUUUUAAAUUUGGUAAAAUUCCGUCUUAUAUUAACAUGCUAAUGGUAGGAUAUGCAUCUUGUAUAAAUGACUAAGACCAACUAAGGCUAAUUUGAGAGGUGGUCGGAGGGGUUCUGAUCCCGAAAUCCCGAG
This 239-nucleotide long non-coding RNA is filed under the name Mytilus galloprovincialis (Mediterranean mussel). Lineage: Eukaryota; Metazoa; Mollusca; Bivalvia; Mytilida; Mytilidae. The record is from RNAcentral.